RNAcentral lists this ribosomal RNA (501 nucleotides) under uncultured bacterium. Its description in RNAcentral is "bacterial SSU rRNA". It matches the Rfam family "Bacterial small subunit ribosomal RNA", at positions 67 to 573 of the family's 1533-position model. The record is from RNAcentral.
CUUGACGGAGUUUUCGGACAACGGAUAGGAAUCCUUAGUGGCGGACGGGUGAGUAACGCGUGAGGAACCUGCCUUGGAGAGGGGAAUAACACAGAGAAAUUUGUGCUAAUACCGCAUGAUGCAGUUGGGUCGCAUGGCUCUGACUGCCAAAGAUUUAUCGCUCUGAGAUGGCCUCGCGUCUGAUUAGCUAGUUGGUAGGGUAACGGCCUACCAAGGCGACGAUCAGUAGCCGGACUGAGAGGUUGACCGGCCACAUUGGGACUGAGACACGGCCCAGACUCCUACGGGAGGCAGCAGUGGGGAAUAUUGGGCAAUGGGCGCAAGCCUGACCCAGCAACGCCGCGUGAAGGAAGAAGGCUUUCGGGUUGUAAACUUCUUUUAUGAGGGACGAAGGAAGUGACGGUACCUCAUGAAUAAGCUCCGGCUAACUACGUGCCAGCAGCCGCGGUAAUACGUAGGGAGCGAGCGUUAUCCGGAUUUACUGGGUGUAAAGGGCGUGUA